AACGCACAUUGCGCCCCUUGGUAUUCCGAGGGGCAUGCCUGUUCGAGCGUCAUUUCAACCCUCAAGCACAGCUUGGUCUUGGGCCGCGCCGCUAACCCGGCGGGUCUUAAAAUCAGUGGCGGUGCCGUCGGGCCCUGAGCGUAGUACAUCUCCUCGCUAUAGGGUCCCGGCGGAUGCUGGCCAGCAACCCCCAAUCUUCUAUGGUUGACCUCGGAUCAGGUAGGGAUACCCGCUGAACUUAA
RNAcentral lists this unclassified non-coding RNA (242 nucleotides) under Hyaloscyphaceae sp. RNAcentral describes it as "partial contains 5.8S ribosomal RNA, internal transcribed spacer 2, and large subunit ribosomal RNA". The stretch from base 1 to 52 matches the Rfam family "5.8S ribosomal RNA", at positions 103 to 154 of the family's 154-position model. The record is from RNAcentral. Lineage: Eukaryota; Fungi; Ascomycota; Leotiomycetes; Helotiales; Hyaloscyphaceae. RNAcentral also lists the same sequence under 1 other name.